UGCCAGACUCAUACGGGAGGCAGCAGUGGGGAAUAUUGCACAAUGGGGGAAACCCUGAUGCAGCGACGCCGCGUGAGUGAAGAAGUAAUUCGUUAUGUAAAGCUCUAUCAGCAGGGAAGAAAAUGACGGUACCUGAGUAAGAAGCCCCGGCUAACUACGUGCCAGCAGCCGCGGUAAUACGUAGGGGGCAAGCGUUAUCCGGAUUUACUGGGUGUAAAGGGAGCGUAGACGGCAGCGCAAGUCUGGAGUGAAAGGCGGGGGCUCAAACCCCGGACUGCUCUGGAAACUGUACGGCUGGAGUGCAGGAGAGGUAAGUGGAAUUCCUAGUGUAGCGGUGAAAUGCGUAGAUAUUAGGGGGAACACCAGUGGCGAAGGCGGCCUGCUGGACGACAACUGACGGUGAGGCGCGAAAGCGUGGGGAGCAAACAGGAUUAGAUACCCGAGUACA
Molecule: ribosomal RNA, 448 nt
Filed under: uncultured bacterium
Lineage: Bacteria
Description: bacterial SSU rRNA
Rfam family: Bacterial small subunit ribosomal RNA
Source: RNAcentral